UGAAAGAUCAAACAUUAAGAUUUUCGAUUGCAACAGUAGGUACGUACAUUGAUUUGGGUCAAGAAUAAGAAGCAAUUACAUAUUAAUGUACGGUUAUAGUACACAAUGGCAACAGUAGUAUCGAAAACUCUAUGUCAAUCGUUUCCUUUUACAAAAUGUCCAUUUUCUGUCCGUUUAUGCUUGAUUGGUGGAGGAUAAUUGUUGCUGAUUUGGUUUCUUAACAUUGUAAGUGUUAUUGUCUUGAGUGUUGAUGGAGAUGGAUUAUUGAUCUAUUAUGUUUUCUGUCAUUUGGAGAUGUAACUUCGGUAGCUUGGUACAUGUUAUUUAUUUUAUGUUGUUUGCUAACUUUUGUUUUAAGACUUAAGUACUUAUCUGCUUGGUAUUCAUUUGACUUUUGUUUUUCAUUUGCAUCAGGUUUUUUUUUUUAAAUAAUCUGGGGCUGGAAUUUAAAAUUGAAUUAGGAUUUUUUUUUGUAAUCCGAAUUGCAAUCUGAACUGAAAUUCAAACCCGAAUUUUUUAUCCAAAUCGAAAUUUAAUACAAAACUAAACUGAAUUUAAUUUGGUUUGAAUUUGAAUUUCAAAUUCAUUUGGGCUGAAUUUUGCAACUCGAAAGGAAAACUCGAUUUAUGCAACCCCAAUUUUUCACACCCACAUAUUAAAUAAUUCACUACAUAUAAAAAGAUUAUGAUAAUUGGUUAUAUUUUUAUAUAUUUGCAACUCCCACGUCCCACCACAUGCUGUUAAAUCUUAGGUAAUUAAACUUGCUUAGCAAAGUCGACAUCUCCUUCUUUGAUAUUAAUUAUUAAAGCGUGUCUAUAGAAUAGAUUAGGUCCGUUAGGAUGAGAAAGACAUAAAGGGUUAGUUGUUUUAGACAAAAAGCCCAACAUUGAUUGUCACUAUUGCUUCCUCUUCAAUUCGCAAUUCAUGACACACUGCUUGUGCUUGCAUACGGUUUAGUUCAUCAAGCCGCUGAAGUACAAAUUGUAAGUCCUUUAUAUAGCUGUUUUCAACUGAUUUUGGGGUAGGAAAAUUCAAAAUCUAUUUUAAACAAUGAAUUUAUAUUUUUGGGGGAGAUGAGGUACCUCACUAGUUUAUUGUGUAUGGCGCGGUGUAUUUGAAAUUCGGAGGAGGUGAGAAGGGGAGAGAGAGUGGUAACAAUGGUGGAAGGUCAGAAACAAGAGAGGUGUCCCUCAAAAUGAGCUUCACGCCUGCAAAACAGUGAAAUAGAGGUUAGAGGUGAAGCCGGGGUACCCCGGCGUUCAUACUCCGACGCUCAAGUUAGCAAACUCAAGCUUUUAUGGGAAAGAGAGCUGGCUCGAGUGUGAGUGUUUUUUUGGGCGAAUGAAAGCAUGAUGGAGAAUGAAACCUAGGCGCCUUUAUAUAUGGAGUACCUCAGCUGCCACGUGGCGUACCCUUUUUUGGCAAACGUCCUUUUACCUCUUUAUAAUUUUUUGGGCCGUUAUCUGCAUGUUCGCGGUGUAUCUCAUCUUUUGGAAAUGUGGCGCGAGCUGGAGAGUGGUCCAGGGUACCUCUGCAGUAGCUGUCGAGUAGGCGGUUGGGGACCACUGUCCUUGGGACAUUGUCCUUCACUUUUGGCAGAGGUCGCAGGCGGCUGUCCCUCCUUUUAGGGUGUCGUUUUUUAUGGGUAAAAGCUCGUUUAGUCCUUAUAUUUUGAAGUUAGUAUCCGUUUAGUCCUUAUAUUUUUUAAAAUACCUCAAAUCAUCCCUACCAUUAAAUUAUUGACACUUUUGCCAUUAUCUUUUGUUCCUUUUAACUUAUUUUUAUAAAUUGCCCUUUUAUAAUAAUUUUUUUAGAAAUUAUUAAAAAGAAAAAAAUAAUUUACCAGUUUAACACCAAAAAAUAAAAUAAAAUAAAAAAUAUAUAUUAAUUUUUGUGGAACACACUCUUGAGUUAAAAUAUUAAUUUUUCUAAAAAAAAUGAUAAUGUAAUUUUUUAGACAUAUGUGAGCUUCCACAAAAAUUAAUAUAUACCUUUUUUGUUUUUAUUUUAUUUUUGAGUUUAAUUUGAUAAUUUAAUUUUUUAUUAAUAUCCAAAAAAGAAACAUUAUUGUAAAAGUGUAAUAUUGUAAAAACAAGUUAAAAAUAAUAAAAAAUAAUGGCAUGAGUGUCAAUAUUUAGUAGCAGGGACGUUUUAAGGUGUUUGUAAAAAUACAGGGACUAAAUGGACAUUACUGCUGUACCGUACAUCCGCCUUGGCCGUACAGCAGCUUGGCAUUGGUUUGUUUGCCUUCUUUUUUUUUUUUCAAAGAUACAAAACCAGAACAGUGUUCGAAAGUGUGUACCCGUCAUAAAUUUUUGCUAUAAAAAAUUUGGUAAAUUAAUUUAAAAACAACAACAUGGUGGUGUAUGAAAGAUCAAACAUUAAGAUUUUCGAUUGCAACAGUAGGUACGUACAUUGAUUUGGGUCAAGAAUAAGAAGCAAUUACAUAUUAAUGUACGGUUAUAGUACACAAUGGCAACAGUAGUAUCGAAAACUCUAUGUCAAUCGUUUCCUUUUACAAAAUGUCCAUUUUCUGUCCGUUUAUGCUUGAUUGGUGGAGGAUAAUUGUUGCUGAUUUGGUUUCUUAACAUUGUAAGUGUUAUUGUCUUGAGUGUUGAUGGAGAUGGAUUAUUGAUCUAUUAUGUUUUCUGUCAUUUGGAGAUGUAACUUCGGUAGCUUGGUACAUGUUAUUUAUU
RNAcentral lists this long non-coding RNA (2696 nucleotides) under Citrus sinensis (sweet orange). RNAcentral's name for it is "long non-coding RNA (CSIN_LNC003099)". The record is from RNAcentral. Lineage: Eukaryota; Viridiplantae; Streptophyta; Magnoliopsida; Sapindales; Rutaceae.